RNAcentral lists this ribosomal RNA (252 nucleotides) under uncultured bacterium. Its description in RNAcentral is "partial 16S ribosomal RNA". It matches the Rfam family "Bacterial small subunit ribosomal RNA", at positions 524 to 776 of the family's 1533-position model. The record is from RNAcentral.
UACGUAGGUCCCGAGCGUUGUCCGGAUUUAUUGGACGUAAAGUGAGCGCAGGUGGUUUAUUAAGUCUGGUGUAAAAGGCAGUGGCUCAACCAUUGUAUGCAUUGGAAACUGGUAGACUUGAGUGCAGGAGAGGAGAGUGGAAUUCCAUGUGUAGCGGUGAAAUGCGUAGAUAUAUGGAGGAACACCGGUGGCGAAAGCGGCUCUCUGGCCUGUAACUGACACUGAGGCUCGAAAGCGUGGGGAGCAAACAGG